RNAcentral lists this long non-coding RNA (34085 nucleotides) under Gossypium barbadense (sea-island cotton). Its description in RNAcentral is "long non-coding RNA (GBAR_LNC022198)". Lineage: Eukaryota; Viridiplantae; Streptophyta; Magnoliopsida; Malvales; Malvaceae. The record is from RNAcentral.
GGGACUGAGGGAAUGCUUGGCAGAGGGGGCAGUCCUGUUGGGAAUGUGGUAGGAAGUGGAAGAAGCGCCCCAGGCCAUGAGAAUGAUGGUCGGGAUGGCGUUGGGAGAUUAGGGAAAGAUGGUAAACUUUGCGUUCGAGGCUGCUGCAGAAGGUGACGAGCUGCUACCCCAACAUCAAUGCCUGCAAAUGACAAAGCAAUCAAGAAUGCUAAAGCAAAGCAAUUGAAAGAGGCCAUUUUUGUUCAAAGAUUUCGAAACAAAUGAAGCAGAUGAAACGAAGUUCUUUAUCUGAAUAGUUGUGAGUGAGGAAAACAAAGCAUGGUAUUGAGGUUUAUAUAGGCAUUGGAGUAGUGAAUAGAAAUCCCCUGCCCUUAAACAAUGCCCCAUGCAUGCCCCCAAACCAAAUUAGCGCCACAUGUUUUUUAUUUUUUCCAUUUUAAUUGUAGUUCAUUUUUUAAAUAAAAAAUUUAUAAUGAUUUGAAUUAAUUUUUAACUUAUUAUCAACGUUUUUAUUUUUGUUUUAUUUUUAUUUUACAUUAAUUUUACCUAUUCUUUAAUUAACAACUUUAUAAUGACUUAGAGUUUAUCUAAUAGAGGUUUUUUUUUUAUAAUCGGUCUUAUAAUAAAAUUUUAUAAGGUGGGAACAAGUCCCACUGUGACAACAUGAUCCUUCAAUUUUUGGUGGUGGCAUGCCUUUAGUCAAAGGAUCAGCUAACAUCUGCUCAAUGCUAAUGUGCUCAAUGACCAAUUUCUUUUCUUUAACAUGUUCCCUCAUGCCUAGGUACUUAAAGUCGAUAUGUUUACUUCGACUUCCACUUCUUCCGUUCUUAGCCAUAGAGACAGCAGUUGAAUUGUCACAAUAUAUGAAAUAAUCAAAACCCAUAAUGACUCAGCCCAAAAAUCUCGAGCUUCAAACCCAAAUUAAAUUAAAUCAAAACCAUAAUUUAUUAUGUACAAUUGCACAAAAUUAACAUAAUUUAAGUGUGUCAUACUGCAUAUUAAAUUAAAGUUUACGUUUGACAUUAUAGAUAAUAUUCACGUGUAAAAUUUUGAGAUUUAUUCCCUUAAUUAAAGUAAUAUGUCAAAUAGAAUACUUGAACAAUCCUCCAUGUUGGCAAAGUUUAUGUACAGUAGUAGAAGCGAACUAAAUAAUUAGAAUAAAUCUAAAGUAUGGCUUACAUAUAAUUUAUUCACAAUGUGACUUAAACUUUGUCCUUCAAGAUUUCACGGUCUCAAUUUAUGUCUUAAAAUUUUAAGAUCAUUUUAGGUUUGUUAAAAAAUUAAAAGUUUAGAAAGUUAGAAUUGUUGCUUGAGGCGUGAAUAUCUUUAUUCUUUAGGAUAUUUGCGGAUUUACCACCUCUCAGGAUUUCGUUUGUAUCAUGCACAAUGAAAAAAUUGAAAAAAAAAAUUUCACAUUUGAAUGGAAUUGAGCUGUUAGGCUCAAGCCUCAUGUGCGCAUAUAUAUUCUCUUAUUUUGAGUCUUACAAGUUUAUAGUAAACCAAAUCUAUAUAAACAUCAUUUCAUUAGGUCAAUCUAAAAUAUGUUUAAUAUGUGUAAUUCUUUAAAAUAGAUGAAAACUUCAAAUAUGGUUUAGGUCAUUUUUAGAUUUGUCUUAUUUUAGGUUCAAAUCAUUCGAAUUUGAGGCUAAGUUUUUCAUGUCUAAUCAUUAUUGAUCCGAAUCAUUUUAGAUUUUGAUCAUUUUAAGUUCCAAUUAUUUUGUGAUCAAAUCAUUUCAAGUUUAGAUAAAUUUGGGUCGAUUCGAAUUUGACUUAAUUACGUAGUUAACUUUUUUUUAUAAUAAAUUGAGCUGAAUGAAAGUUAGAUUAGAAUUUAUUUAGUGUGCCUUUGUGUUUAAUUCGAAAUUUAAACAUCUCCCUUCGAAAUAAACAUGUUAAGACAAUUUUAUUUUAAAGACAAUAAUACAACAUAGUUGAUUUGGGAGAUAAACAUGUUAAUUUUUUAAUCCCAACCAAAAUUGUACAUAAUUCUUUUAUGUCAUAUUAAAUACAUGUAACGUCUUAUAAAAAUUGUCAAUAAAUUAUGCCUAGCGACAACGUUAUUCAACUCUAAUUUCAUUGUUAAUACCUAUUUCUAUUUUUCUUCUACUGUCUUCAACUUUAAAUAUAAAGGGAUUGAAAUCUUAAGAAUUGAGAUUUCUUUUCUCUGUAUUAGUGGACGUCUGAUUUUUUGUUUGAUUGUUUUUUUUUUACUGGAAUUGACACAUAUCUUUUCAGAUUUAUCAAUAUUUUUAAAAUUUAUUUAAGAUAUGUAUAUAAAUAUAUUACAAAUAUAAGAUAAAUGAAACUAAAUACAUUUCAAAUAUAAAAUAUUCAUUAAUAAAUUGAACAAAUAAAAAUUUAUCAUUCAAAUAAAUCUAAAAUUAUUAAUAACAAUCCAUCAUUUAAUAUGAAAUUUUAUGGAUUUAGCUCAUUUACUUAAUAAAAGAAGCUAAAAGGUGAACGAAUAUAUUUUUUCUUUGAUAAUCGGGUGAACGGUUUUUCUUAAUUAUAUUUUGAAUGUGAAAGUAUAUUCCAUUUUUUUAAAAACUUUACAUUCUGAUGUAACAUUUUUAAUUAGUCACGUUUCAAUUAAGUUUUUAGCAUAAUAGUAAAUAAUUAAAAGUUUAAUAUUUUUAAUAUUAUUCAUGCACAGGACGGUGCAUUAUGUUCUGGCAAGUGUGACAGGAAUUGAUCGGAAUGAGUUGGUGCAAUUGGUACGGACCGAAAUUUUCACCAGUGUAGAAAAAGCGUGUUGGGUGUUUCGCAAUGUUAUUGAAACCAAACUAAACAGACCAAGAACCGAUGAACCCGAGGACUAGAGCAAACUGCAGUUAAACAACAAAUCAUCAGCCGGUUAAGCCGUAUUUUAACCUUUUCUAAACUGGAAAUACGAAAAUUUCACUUCAAAUCCCUUGAGCUUUUGUCACACUUCUUCUCUGCACUCAAUGAAAUAAAACACAACAUAAAAAUAUAAGCACCAUUUCUUUUAUUACUUUUUCUACUAAAAUAAGUUUUUUUUUCUCAUAAAAAACCUAAGAUGGGGAGAGGAUUUUAAAAUUCAAAACCUUCGAAAUAGAUGAGUUUGAGGUUGUUAAUAUUAUUUUAUAUUUUUGAAUAGUAAAUUAAUUGUAUUAGUGGUUUAACCAAUUGGAUCGAGAAUUAAUGAUUUGAUUGAUUUGAGUUUGGGCUGCUCAUUACCUUGACUGCAUUUAUCAUUUAAUUCUUUUUUUAAUUAGCCAAACUCAUGUUCACAAUGGUAUAACAGUAAUUAAUGACUUCAUGGACAGAACAUCAAUAUAUAAAUACACAAACAAAUAUAAUGGGAAUUGGAGAACUCCAAUUUAUACAAACAAAUAUAAGUGUGCAAAUUCAAUACUCAUAAUAAAUACACAAAGAUGACUAAAAACAUUAUUAAACCAGAUCCAGUAUGCAGCAUACAAGAAAAGAGGGUAUUUCAAGGAGUAGAACGAGAAGGUGGUGGAGAAAAGGAAGGAAUAGAGGGAACUGCAGUUGGGAUUGAGGGAAUGCUUGGCAGAGGCGGCAGUCCUCUUGGCAAUGUGGUAGGAAGUGGAGGAAGCGCCCCAGGGUUUGGGAUAUUAGGGAAAGAUGGCAAUGGCGGAAAAGAGAAAGGAAUAGGGGGAAUUGCAGUUGGGAUUGUGGGGACUGAGGGAAUGCUUGGCAGAGGGGGCAGUCCUGUUGGGAAUGUGGUAGGAAGUGGAGGAAGCGCCCCAGGCCAUAAGAAUGAUGGUCGGGAUGGCGUUGGGAGAUUAGGGAAAGAUGGUAAACUUUGCGUUCGAGGCUGCUGCAGAAGGUGACGAGCUGCUACCCCAACAUCAAUGCCUGCAAAUGACAAAGCAAUCAAGAAUGCUAAAGCAAAGCAAUUGAAAGAGGCCAUUUUUGUUCAAAGAUUUUGAAACAAAUGAAGCAGAUGAAACGAAGUUCUUUAUCUGAAUAGUUGUGAGUGAGGAAAACAAAGCAUGGUAUUGAGGUUUAUAUAGGCAUUGGAGCAGUGAAUAGAAAUCCCCUGCCCCUAAACAAUGCUCCAUGCAUGCCCUCAAACCAAAAUAGCUCCACAUGUUUUUUAUUUUUUUCAUUUUAAUUUUUUUAAAUAAAAACUCUGUAAUGAUUUGAAUUAAUUUUUAACUUAUUAUCAACGUUUUUAUUUUUGUUUUAUUUUUAUUUUACAUUAAUUUUACCUAUUCUUUAAUUAAAAAAUUUAUAAUGACUUAGAGUUAAUUUGAGAGAGUUUUUUUUAUAAUUGGUCUUAUAAUAAAAUUUUACAAAGCAGAAACAAGUUCCACUGUGAAAACAUGAUCCUUAAAUUUUUGGAGAUAACCAUGUUAAUUUUUUAAUCCCAACCAAAAUUCGAAAUAAUUCUUUUAUGUCAUAUUAAAUACACGUAACGUCUUAUAAAAAUUGUCAAUAAAUUAUGCAUAGUGACAAGGUUAUUCAAAUCUAAUUUCAUUGUUAAUACCUAUUUUUAUUUUUCUUCUACUGUCUUCAACUUUAAAUAUAAAGGGAUUGAAAUUUUAAGAAUUGAGAUUUCUUUUCUCUGUAUUAGCGGACGUCUUAUUUUUUGUUUGAUUGUUUUUUUUACUGGAAUUGACACAUAUCUUUUCAGAUUUAUCAAUAUUUUUAAAAUUUAUUUAAGAUAUUAUUGGGAAUUAUCCAUAUUUAUGGAAAAUCAAAGAUAUGGGUAUCAAAUAUUGGAAAGUCAAAGAUAUGGGUAUCGAGAUAUUGGCAUAAUAAAAUCUGAGAUAUUUGCAAUAUAUGGUCCCUAAUUGUAAAGUGACUUUGCAAGUUGAUCCCUGAACCUCAACUAUAAAUAGGCAUAACCAUCUCUCAUUCUGUAUCUCAAACUUGCCAUUCUCUACUUAAGGCAUUGUUUUCUCUCUCUCUCUUUGUAAAUUCUCACUUGUAUUUUGGAGUGAAAUAUAUUUGGUAGUGCCCGAGGACGUAGGCAAAAUUUGCUGAACCUCAUUAAAUUCUUGUGUUCUUUAUUGUAUUAUUCUGCAUGAAUUGUGUGUGUGAUUGUAGUGAUUUAUUGUGCUAUUAAAUUACGAUUGAGGGAUAUUCUGGCUAGGAAAGACCUGGUACUUAAGUGAUCCUUGUGAUCCACCUCUCUUUCCUGGGAAUUGAACUUAGUGUGAUUUUUUAGUACAAUAAUUUUACUCUUUUACACGCUUCCGCACAACAAUUGGUAUCAGAGCUAGAUUCGUACUUGAGGAAUACGAUCGUUCACGGCACUGUUCACGUACUGUAGUUGGGAUUGAGGAGAAAAAGAUGGAAAAGUCAUCGUCAAAGACUACUGUGACCAAUGCGAAAUUUGAAGUAGAGAAAUUUGAUGGUACCAAUAAUUUUGGUAUGUGGCAAUGUGAGAUCCUGGAUGUCUUAUGUCAACAAGAGCUGGAUAUAGCCCUUGAAGAAAAACCUGACAAGAUGGAUGACAAGGAGUGGGCCAAGAUCAAUAGACAGGCAUGUGGAACAAUUCGCCUAUGUUUGGCCAAAGAGCAGAAGUACUCUGUCAUGAGGGAGACAUCAGCGAAGAAGUUGUGGGAUACACUGGAAGAAAAGUUUCUAACAAAAAGUCUUGAAAAUAGGCUUUAUAUGAAAAAAAAACUUUAUCGAUUCACGUAUGCACCCGGUAUGUCGAUGAAUGACCAUGUGAACUCAUUCAAUAAAAUUUUAGCAGACUUGCUAAAUUUGGAUGAGAAAUUUGAAGAUGAAGACAAGGCAUUAUUGUUGUUGAAUUCCCUUCCUGAUGAAUAUGAUCAUCUUACCACCACAUUGCUUCAUGGGAAGGACACGAUCACAUUUGAUGCAGUCUGUAGUGCGUUGUAUAGAUCUGAGACUCGAAAGAAAGAUAAAAGAGAUCACAGAGAUACAACCGCAGAAGUCUUAACAGUAAGAGGUCGUUCACACAGUAGCAAAUCUGGUAGAAGGGGAAAGUCCAAAGGGAGACCCGCCAAAGAUGAAUGUGCCUUUUGCCGUGAAAAAGGGCAUUGGAAAAAGAAUUGUCCUAAGCUACAAAAGGGCAAGGCUAUUUCUAAUGCAUGUGUAGCGGAGCAUGAUGAGGAGUCAGACUUUAGCUUGGUUGGCAUGGCAAUGGCAUGUCAAACGGAUGAGUGGAUUUUGGAUUCAGGAUGUACUUACCAUUUGUGCCCUAAUAAGGACUGGUUUUCUAGUCUUAAAGAGCUAGAAGGUGGAAUUGUUCUUAUGGGAAAUGAUAGUGCUUGUAAGACAAUGGGAGUGGGUACAGUCCAAUUGAAGAAUCACGACGGCUCAAUCCAAGUCUUGACAGAUGUUCGCUACGUACCUAGCCUGAAGAAAAAUCUCAUCUCAUUAGGUGCCCUAGAAUCUAAAGGGCUCACAAUCACUUUGAGAGAUGGAUUACUAAAAGUAGUAGCUGGGCAACUGACGGUGAUGAAAGGCACAAGAAGAAAUAACUUGUAUUUUUUAAAUAGAAGUACAGUUAUUGGAUCAACAUCAACAGUUUCUACAAAAGAUGUAGAUUCAGAGGCUACCAGAUUAUGGCAUAUGCGAUUGGGACAUGCUGGUGAAAAAGCUUUGCAGACAUUGGUGAAGCAAGGCUUAUUGAAAGGUGCAAAUUCUUGCAAAAUGGAAUUCUGUGAACAUUGUGUUCUGGGCAAGCAGAAGAGGGUAAAAAUUGGUCCAGCAAUUCACAAUACGAAAGGAAUUCUGGACUACGUUCACAGUGAUGUGUGGGGACCUACCAAAGUAGCUUCUUUGGGAGGUAUGCACUAUUUUGUUACUUUUGUUGAUGAUUAUUCAAGAAAAGUAUGGGUGUAUCUAAUGAAAAGAAAAAGUGAAGUUUUGGAUGCAUUUCUGAAAUGGAAGAAGAUGGUGGAGACUCAGACUGGUCGAAAGGUCAAACGACUUCGAUCAGAUAAUGGUACUGAGUACAAAAACGAUCCAUUUCUACAAGUACGCCAAGAUGAGGGCAUUGUGCGACACUUCACUAUUCGGGAUACACCACAGCAAAAUGGGGUGGCAGAACGAAUAAAUCGAACUAUACUGGAGAAAGUUCGAUGUAUGUUGUCCAAUGCUGGAUUGGGCAAAGAAUGUUGGGCUGAGGCAGUUACAUAUGCGUGCCAUCUAAUUAACUGUUUGCCAUCAGUUGCAAUAAAUGGAAAAACUCCUAUGGAGAUGUGGACUGGUAAAUCUGCUACUGAUUAUGAUUCUUUGCAUGUAUUUGGUUCCACUGCAUAUUAUCAUGUAAAAGAAUCUAAGUUAGACCCAAGAGCAAAGAAAGCAUUAAUCUUGGGUAUAACUGAUGGAGUAAAAGGAUAUCGUCUCUGGUGUCCUGAUACAAGGAAGAUUGUUUUCAGUAGAGAUGUGACUUUUGAUGAAUCAACCAUGUUGAAGUACAAGGAUUCACAAAAGGAUGACAAAACCAGUAGCACUUUGUAGCAGGUGGAGCUUGAAAAGGUUAACGAUGAUCCAGCUAAUAUUGAAGGGACAAAUGAUGAAGAGGUUCCUACCCAAGAAUCUCUACAGCAACAAGAUUCAAUUGCAUAUAGAAGGCCAAGAAGAGAGAUUCGUAAGCCUGCUCGCUUUGAUGAUAUAAUGGCCUAUGCACUUCCAAUUACAGAUGAUGAUGUUCCUUCUACUUACACAGAAGUAAUAAGUAACCCUGAUGGUGUAAAGUGGAAGCAAGCAAUGAAUGAAGAAAUGCAGUCUCUUCAUAAAAAUAAGACCUAGGAGUUGGUGGCACUACCCAAGGGAAAGAAGGCAAUUGGAUGCAAAUGGGUAUAUGCAAAGAAGGAAGGAUUUCCUAAUAAAAAUGAAAUUCGAUACAAGGCUAGAUUAGUAGCAAAGGGUUACGCUCAGAAAGAAGGAAUAGACUACAAUGAAGUGUUUUCUCCAGUUGUGAAGCAUUCGUCUAUUCGGAUCUUGCUAGCCUUGGUUGCGCAAUAUGAUCUUGAACUAGUUCAGCUUGAUGUGAAGACCGCGUUUUUACACGGUGAUUUGGAAGAGGAAAUCUAUAUGACUCAGCCAGAUGGAUUCAAGGUUGCUGGAAAAGAAAAUUGGGUUUGCAAACUGACAAAGUCGCUUUAUGGAUUGAAGCAAUCUCCAAGGCAGUGGUACAAGCGAUUUGAUCAGUUCAUGAAAGGGCAAAGGUACACAAGAAGUAAAUUUGAUCAUUGCGUGUAUUUUCAGAAGCUACAAGAAGGAACUUUCAUAUACUUUCUCUUAUAUGUUGAUGAUAUGCUAAUAGCAUCUAAGAGCAAAGUUGAGAUUGAAAGAUUGAAGACUCAACUCAAUCUCGAGUUUGAGAUGAAAGAUUUAGGAGAAGCUAAAAAGAUUCUCGGCAUGGAAAUUUGGAGAGAUAGAGCUCAUGAUAGAGUUAGCUUGUCUCAGAAGCAGUAUUUGAAAAAGGUACUACAGCAGUUUGGCAUGAACGAGCAGACAAAACCUGUAAGUACCCCGUUGGCUUCUCAUUUCAAGCUUUCUGCACAACUAUCUCCUUCGACGAAUACGGAACGAGAAUACAUGUUGCAAGUUCCGUAUUCUAAUGCAGUGGGUAGCUUGAUGUAUGCAAUGGUGUGUACAAGACCCGACAUUUCACAGGCAGUUAGUAUAGUGAGCAGGUAUAUGCAUAAUCCUGGAAAAGGACAUUGGCAAGCUGUGAAAUGGAUUCUACGGUAUAUUCAUAAGACCAUGGAUAUUGGAUUACUGUUCAAGCAGGAUACUACACUUGGUAAAGGUGUUGUUGGGUACGUUGAUUCUGAUUAUGCCGGUGAUUUGGACAAACGAAGAUCAACCACUGGUUAUGUGUUUACUCUUGCUGAAGGACCAAUAAGUUGGAAGUCUACACUGCAGUCUACAGUUGCGUUGUCAACCACAGAAGCUGAAUACAUGGCUGUAACAGAGGCUGUAAAGGAAGCUAUUUGGUUACAAGGUAUGGUUAAAACCUUGGGAUUGGUCCAGGAGCAUAUUAAUGUGUAUUGUGAUAGUCAAAGUGCUAUUCAUUUAGCAAAGAAUCAAGUCUAUCAUGCACGUACAAAGCAUAUCGAUGUACGUUUCCACUUUGUGCGGGAAAUUAUUGAUGAGGGGAAAAUUCACCUUCAAAAGAUUAAGACUGCAGAUAAUCCCGCAGAUAUGAUGACCAAGGUGGUAACAACAAUCAAGUUCGAACAUUGUUUGAACUUGAUCAAUAUUCUGCAUGUUUAACAGUUGAAGAAGGCACUAUCAAGUGUUGUUGACAAAGGCAGAGAGAAUUGUGUGAAGAUAAGAUUACUCGAAUCAAAUCUUCAAGGUGGAGAUUAUUGGGAAUUAUCCAUAUUUAUGGAAAAUCAAAGAUAUGGGUAUCAAAUAUUGGAAAGUCAAAGAUAUGGGUAUCAAAUAUUGGAAAGUCAAAGAUAUGGGUAUCGAGAUAUUGGCAUAAUAAAAUCUGAGAUAUUUGCAAUAUAUGGUCCCUAAUUGUAAAGUGACUUUGCAAGUUGAUCCCUGAACCUCAACUAUAAAUAGGCAUAACCAUCUCUCAUUCUGUAUCUCAAACUUGCCAUUCUCUACUUAAGGCAUUGUUUUCUCUCUCUCUCUUUGUAAAUUCUCACUUGUAUUUUGGAGUGAAAUAUAUUUGGUAGUGCCCGAGGACGUAGGCAAAAUUUGCUGAACCUCGUUAAAUUCUUGUGUUCUUUAUUGUAUUAUUCUGCAUGAAUUGUGUGUGUGAUUGUAGUGAUUUAUUGUGCUAUUAAAUUACGAUUGAGGGAUAUUCUGGCUAGGAAAGACCUGGUACUUAAGCGAUCCUUGUGAUCCACCUCUCUUUCCUGGGAAUUGAACUUAGUGUGAUUUUUUAGUACAAUAAUUUUACUCUUUUACACGCUUCCGCACAACAGAUAUGUAUAUAAAUAUAUUACAAAUAUAAGAUAAAUGAAACUAAAUACAUUUCAAAUAUAAAAUAUUCAUUAAUAAAUUGAACAAAUAAAAAUUUAUCAUUCAAAUAAAUCUAAAAGUAUUAAUAACAAUCCAUCAUUUAAUAUGAAAUUUUAUGGAUUUAGCUCAUUUACUUAAUAAAAGAAGCUAAAAGGUGAACGAAUAUAUUUUUUCUUUGAUAAUCAGGUGAACGGUUUUUUCUUAAUUAUAUUUUGAAUGUGAAAGUAUAUUCCAUUUUUUAAAAAACUUUACAUUCCGAUGUAACAUUUUUAAUUAGUCACGUUUCAAUUAAGUUUUUAGCAUAAUAGUAAAUAAUUAAAAGUUUAAUAUUUUUAAUAUUAUUCAUGCACAGGACGGUGCAUUAUGUUCUGGCAAGUGUGACAGGAAUUGAUCGGAAUGAGUUGGUGCAAUUGGUACGGACCGAAAUUUUAACCAGUGUAGAAAAAGCGUGUUGGGUGUUUCGCAAUGUUAUUGAAACCAAACUAAACAGACCAAGAACCGAUGAACCCGAGGACUAGAGCAAGCUGCAGUUAAACUACAAAUCAUCAGCUGGUUAAGCCGUAUUUUAACAUUUUCUAAACUGGAAAACUGAAAAUUUCACUUCAAAUCGCUUGAGCUUUUGUCACACUUCUUCUCUGCACUCAAUGAAAUAAAACACAGCAUAAAAAUAUAAGCACCAUUUCUUUUAUUACUUUUUCUACUAAAAUAAGUUUUUUUUUUCUCGUAAAAAACCUAAGAUGGGGAGAAGAUUUUAAAAUUCAAAACCUUCGAAAUAUAUGAGUUUGAGGUUGUUAAUAUUAUUUUAUAUUUUUGAAUAGUAAAUUAAUUGUAUUGGUGGUUUAACUUAUUGGAUCGAGAAUUAAUGAUUUGAUUGAUUUGAGUUUGUGCUGCUCACUAUCUAGAUUGCAUUUAUCAUUUAAUUCUUUUUUUAAUUAGCCAAAAUCAUGUUAACAAUUCAUGGACCGAACAUCAAUAUAUAAAUACACAAACAAAUAUAAUGGGAAUUGGAGAACUCCCAUUUAUGCAAACAAAUAUAAGUGGACAAAUUCAAUACUCAUAAUAAAUACACAAAGAUGACUAAAAACAUUAUUAAACCAGAUCCAGUAUGCAGCAUACAAGAAAAGGGGGUAUUUCAAGGAGUAGAACGAGAAGGUGGUGGAGAAAAGGAAGGAAUAGAGGGAACUGCAGUUGGGAUUGAGGGAAUGCUUGGCAGAGGCGGCAGUCCUCUUGGCAAUGUGGUAGGAAGUGGAGGAAGCGCCCCAGGGUUUGGGAGAUUAGGGAAAGAUGGCAAUGGUGGAAAAGAGAAAGGAAUAGGGGGAAUUGCAGUUGGGAUUGUGGGGACUGAGGGAAUGCUUGGCAGAGGGGGCAGUCCUGUUGGGAAUGUGGUAGGAAGUGGAGGAAGUGCCCCAGGCCAUGAGAAUGAUGGUCGGGAUGGCGUUGGGAGAUUAGGGAAAGAUGGUAAACUUUGCGUUCGAGGCUGCUGCAGAAGGUGACGAGCUGCUACCCCAACAUCAAUGCCUGCAAAUGACAAAGCAAUCAAGAAUGCUAAAGCAAAGCAAUUGAAAGAGGCCAUUUUUGUUCAAAGAUUUCGAAACAAAUGAAGCAGAUGAAACGAAGUUCUUUAUCUGAAUAGUUGUGAGUGAGGAAAACAAAGCAUGGUAUUGAGGUUUAUAUAGGCAUUGGAGUAGUGAAUAGAAAUCCCCUGCCCUUAAACAAUGCCCCAUGCAUGCCCCCAAACCAAAUUAGCGCCACAUGUUUUUUAUUUUUUCCAUUUUAAUUGUAGUUCAUUUUUUAAAUAAAAAAUUUAUAAUGAUUUGAAUUAAUUUUUAACUUAUUAUCAACGUUUUUAUUUUUGUUUUAUUUUUAUUUUACAUUAAUUUUACCUAUUAUUUAAUUAACAAAUUUAUAAUGACUUAGAGUUUAUCUAAUAGAGGUUUUUUUUUAUAAUCGGUCUUAUGAAAAAAUUUUAUAUGGUGGGAACAAGUCCCACAGUGACAACAUGAUCCUUCAAUAUUUGGUGGUGGCAUGCCUUUAGUCAAAGGAUCAGCUAACAACUGCUCAAUGCUAAUGUGCUCAAUGACCAAUUUCUUUUCUUUAACAUGUUCCCUCAUGCCUAGGUACUUAAAGUCGAUAUGUUUACUUCGACUUCCACUUCUUCCGUUCUUAGCCAUAAAGACAGCAGUUGAAUUGUCACAAUAUAUGAAAUAAUCAAAACCCAUAAUGACUCAGCCCAAAAAUCUCGAGCUUCAAACCCAAAUUAAAUUAAAUCAAAACCAUAAUUUAUUAUGUACAAUUGCACAAAAUUAAUAUAAUUUAAGUGUGUCAUACUGCACAUUAAAUUAAAAUUUACGUUUGACAUUAUAGAUAAUAUUCACGUGUAAAAUUUUGAGAUUUAUUCCCUUAAUUAAAGUAAUAUGUCAAAUAGAAUACUUGAACAAUCCUCCAUGUUGGCAAAGUUUAUGUACAGUAGUAGAAGCGAACUAAAUAAUUAGAAUAACUCUAAAGUAUGGCUUACAUAUAAUUUAUUCACAAUGUGACUUAAACUUUGUCCUUCAAGAUUUCACGGUCUCAAUUUAUGUCUUAAAAUUUUAAGAUUAUUUUAGGUUUGUUAAAAAAUUAAAAGUUUAGAAAGUUAGAAUUGUUGCUUGAGGCGUGAAUAUCUUUAUUCUUUAGGAUAUUUGCGGAUUUACCAUCUCUCGGGAUUUUGUUUGUAUCAUGCACAAUGAAAAAAUUGAAAAAAAAAAUUUCACAUUUGAAUGGAAUUGAGCUGUUAGGCUCAAGCCUCAUGUGCGCAUAUAUAUUCUCUUAUUUUGAGUCUUACAAGUUUAUAGUAAACCAAAUCUAUAUAAACAUCAUUUCAUUAGGUCAAUCUAAAAUAUGUUUAAUAUGUGUAAUUCUUUAAAAUAGAUGAAAACUUCAAAUAUGGUUUAGGUCAUUUUCAGAUUUGUCUUAUUUUAGGUUCAAAUCAUUCGAAUUUGAGGCUAAGUUUUUCAUGUCUAAUCAUUAUUGAUCCGAAUCAUUUUAGAUUUUGAUCAUUUUAAGUUCCAAUUAUUUUGUGAUCAAAUCAUUUCAAGUUUAGAUAAAUUUGGGUCGAUUCGAAUUUGACUUAAUUACGUAGUUAACUUUUUUUAUAAUAAAUUGAGCUGAAUGAAAGUUAGAUUGGAAUUUAUUUAGUGUGCCUUUGUGUUUAAUUCGAAAUUUAAACAUCUCCCUUCGAAAUAAACAUGUUAAGACAAUUUUAUUUAAACGACAAUAAUACAACAUAGUUGAUUUGGGAGAUAAACAUGUUAAUUUUUUAAUCCCAACCAAAAUUGUACAUAAUUCUUUUAUGUCAUAUUAAAUACAUGUAGCGUCUUAUAAAAAUUGUCAAUAAAUUAUGCCUAGCGACAACGUUAUUCAACUCUAAUUUCAUUGUUAAUACCUAUUUCUAUUUUUCUUCUACUGUCUUCAACUUUAAAUAUAAAGGGAUUGGAAUUUUAAGAAUUGAGAUUUCUUUUCUCUGUAUUAGUGGACGUUUGAUUUUUUGUUUGAUUGUUUUUUUUACUGGAAUUGACACAUAUCUUUUCAGAUUUAUCAAUAUUUUAAAAUUUAUUUAAGAUAUGUAUAUAAAUAUAUUACAAACGUAAUGGCCCAAUAUUGCCCGGCCCGAUAAUAAAAUAUGAUAAAAUAAAUAAAGGUCCAAUGUCCAGCUUUUACAAACCCAAAAUCAAUACGGCCCAAUUAGCCUAAACCCAAUUAGCUUUAACCCAAACUCUAGCCUAGCCCAAAACCCAAUUUAGCCCAAGACUCUUCCCAAACCCCGAAAACCCUAGCAGCAACAGGAGCCUCCUUCCAGCGCUGCAACCAUAAGCUGGGCUUCUCCACGCACACACUGCCACGCACAUCUCUGUACGACCACCUCCAUACCUCCAGGCUGGCCGAAUACCUGCAAAAAAAAACGCACGGAAACAACAGCAAACAGAAAAACAACAGCAUAGAGGUGAAUUUUUAAUUAUUUUUUCAUUUUAUUUUUUGUAAAUCGGGAUAUAAGAAAGCCAUUCGAAUACUGUAACGGGAUUUACGCAUUCAAUAUACAAAGAAAUUGAGAAUACAAAAGAAUCAAAAAAGCAGAGAAAGGUGAUUUUCUGGGUUUUUUUAUUCCUUUCUAUCUUGUUGGUUACUUGAUUUUUUUUCUUUACUUUUUUAAUUUGUACAUUCAUCAAUCGUUGUUUAAAAAAGAAAUAGGAAAAUGAAAGGGAGGGAAACGUACCUGGUAGCGCGAUCCUGGCUCUCUCCGGCGUCAUUGGAGCAGGGGCUGGGAUCAAUGACUGCUCGAGUACCUUCAAUACCCAGAACGGCGCUGAGUUUUUUUUUCCGUUUAGGUUUUUGUUUUAAUGUAAAGAUAGGUUUUUAGGGUUUAUUUAGUUUUAAGCGAAGGAAUUAAAAUGUCGAUGUUUAAAGUCGAUGCAAUGACUUUGAAACAGCGUCGUUUUAGAGACCAGAUCCGAACGGUGACCCGAUCCGAGAAGGAUCCGUGCAUUAUGGAUCAUUUGGUCUAUUUGUUCAAUAGAUCCAUCUAUGUUUAAUGGAAUUGCGAUUUGAUUUCUUUUAAUUUUUUGUAAUUCGUACUGCAUAUUUUGUUCUGUUUUCAUUUAUCUGUUUUCAUUUAGAUCCAGAUUGAAACGGUAUCGUUUGCUGCAUUUGACUUUGAUUAUUCUAAGCUUUUAGGUUUAAUUGUCGAUUCAGUCCUCCAAUUUUGAAAUAAAUUUUAAUUUAACAUGAGUUUAGCCUUUUAAAAAAAAAGAAAUGAAUAGCAUUUUUUUAAUUAUAAUUAAUCCUAUUUUCGUACAUUAUAAAAUCUAACAUUAUUUGUACUAUUUGAUUUUGAUGUUUUUAAAUCUACAAUUAUUAUAACUUAAGAUAUAAUAGAUCAUUGUUUUAGUUUAUAUCCUAUACUUUAAAUUUAUUAUAUAAUAAUAUUUUGAAUCUACCAUAUUUAUUUAAUUUUGUCUUUUCCUUUUGGUUCCAUUUUAAGUCCCGAUUUUAAAUUUAUUAAUAUUUUCAUUAUAAUUGUUUUUAUUACUCUUCUAAAUUGUUUUAUUAUAUUUAAUUUUGUCUUCAAAAAGUGUUUUUUAAAACAAAUUAAUUCUUAAUUUUAAUUCAUUUUCUAACAUUAUUUUGGUAUUUAGUAUGAUAUUAUUCUCAAAUUUAUUAUUAGUACAUUUUUUAAAAAUAAUACAUUAUUUGUUUAAAUUAUUAUCAAUAUGUUUUAAUUUUAUCAAUAUUAUUUUAAAAAUAUAUAUGAUUUAUAUGAAAUUAUUCUAGUAUAUAUGUAUAUAGAUUACAUCAUUAACUUUGGAUUAACCUCUUUUACAUAAUUUUUUAAAAAUGUUUUAUUCCUUAAACCUUCUUUAUUUUAUUCGUUUUAUAGGUUGCUAAAUUAUUAAUAUGGAUGUUUGUAUGACAUGAUUAAGAUCAAGGUUUAUAUUUUCCUAUUAUUUGUUUAAUUGCUUCUAGUUUAAGUUUAAGUUGUUAUUUAUCUUUUAUAUAUCGUUAUUCAAUCAUGUUUCAUUUGUAAGAGUUGAAUUUUAUUAAAGCAUCAUAAUUCCUAAAAAAGCUUGGUGUUUAAUAGUUCUCGAGAGAAUUGUGCCCUAACUUACUGGGCUUCAAUUCUUCUCGAUGAAUUUAUAUCAUCAAGUAUCCAUUUUAUAUAAUUUUAAAAUAAAAUUCUUUAGAUUUCAAAAUGUGGGAUCCUAACUUACUGGAUACGACAUUUUGUUAUCUCGAUUUUAAAAUAAAGGUAAUAUUUGAUGUUUAAGAAUUUCGAGAAAUUGAACCCUAACUUACUAGAUUCUGAUUUCUCGAUUGACUUAAAUAGUCAAAUAUCCUUCUUAAAACAUGUUUAAAAUUUUUUAAAAAGGGACGAACUUAACUUCGAAGAUUGAACUGUUGCACUCUAACUCACUGAGUGUGGCAAUUUGUUUCUUUGAAAUGGGUCCGUCCACUUAACCAAUUCAAUUGUUUAAGCUUUCAUUUCAUGGGAUCGUAUUUAAAAAUAUUUUCAAGUUUCGACACUAAGACAUUAAAUAACCAAUUCGGUACCAAUUUUGGGCGUUACAAGGGUGCUAACCCUUCCUCAUGCGUAACUGACUUUCGAACUUAUCUUCUCAAAAUUCGCAGACCAAAAAAAUUAUUUUCAUGGUGAUCCGAUCACACCUCAACAAAAAUUGGUGGCGACUCCAAUUUUCAUUUUUUAAAGUCGACUACUAAUAAAUUUUUGUGUUCAAAAAAUGGUUUCGAUAGCUUGGCGACUCCACUGGGGACUAUAAGAGAGUCAAGCCGAAAAAUCGAUUGUUUCCUGUCUUAUCGUCGAAAAUUAAAAAUUUGAUUUGAAAAAUUACGAUCCUUUCUUUGCAUUUGUUUGUAUGAUUACGGUUUUAUACCUUGGCAUCAUAUUGCAUAAAGACUGUUUAGUCUUACCCUUUAAGUGGGAGUGAGUAGCUAUUCCUUCAUGAGGUUUUCACCUCCGUACAGGAUAGUGAAUCACUUUCGGGAUACAUCCGUACCUAUGUCUUUGUGAGAUUUUCAUCUCCGUGCAGCCAUAGGGAAAUGUAUUCCCCCGAACCAAACUCGGUCUGUAUGAGCCUAUAAUGGGUGAAGAUCGAGGAAUCUGUUGGUUCGGGUACCUCAACUUUAGAACCAAACCCCAUAUAGUGGACUUAGAAGCUCAACCUAGUUAGAACUAUUCCAAUCUCUCGUGAUUGCCUAGAUAGAUGAUUGUGUUUCUUAUACUUGAUUUGAAUUUUGUUUUUGUGUUGUACUGACUUGUUUAUGUUUUGUUGAUAUUGUUGCAUGUCACUGCAUAGUUCAAAGAGUGUCGAUUCAAGUUCAGUUACUAAAUUAGAAAACCGUUAUGGCAAACGAAUUUCUGGAUAAAGUGGAGGAUAACGCCAUUGUCAGUAUAUGGUCAGAGAAUGUGCAAUUGGAAAAAGGAGACAAUUUAUCUAAGGGAUACGUGUCAGAGCUUUGGGACUACACUCGUAUUAGUGUGACACAAAAUAGCCUUCAGGAGUUAAAUGAGAUUUGGGAUCGGUGGAAUGAUGAAACCAAGCAGUUGUUCUACUCUAAUUACGGGGACUUGCAGUACUUACUUAAAAUCAAGGUGGAUGAAAGACUGUUUCGCGCUCUCGCUCAAUAUUGGAAUCCUGCAUAUAGUUGUUUUACUUAUGGGAACGUAGAUUUGGUGCCCACAGUGGAGGAAUAUACAGCUUUACUACACUGCCCUAGGCUUCAGGUUGAUAAAGCAUAUUCUAGAGCCGCAUAUGUCCCAGCGUUUUGGAAGAAAUUAAUGAGUAUUACCGGAAUGAGCGAAUAAUGGAUCACGGCCAAGAUCAAACAGAAGGGCGAGUGUAAAUGUAUCCCAUGGAGGAAUUUGCGAGACUUGAUCCUAGCACAUCCUGAUGGGAAAAAGAAAGUUGAUGUGUUUGCUUUGAGUAUCUACGGGUUAGUGAUUUUCCCUAGAGCAUUGGGGCAUGUUAACGAAGUGGUUUCAGAUCUUUUUGAUCGGUUGGGUAAAGGGGUCAAGUCUGUUCCUGCGAUUUUGGCUGAAACGUUUAGAUCUUUGAAUGCGUGUAGGCAUGCUGGUGAAGGCAGAUUUAUAGGUUGUGCGCAAUUGUUGAUAGCUUGGUUCCAUAGUCAUUUCUUGAAGGUCGACAAAGUUUCGUAUCGGGUUUUCUCUGGGCAUUACUCCCCGUUAAAAGAGAUAGUGGCUACGCCAAGAAAGGACGAUAUUUCAGAAGAAAAUUGGAUAGCAAUUCUGUAAAAUCUUCAAGAGGAUGAUGUGGAGUGGAGAGCUCAUUGGUUGAUUCCUGAUGGAAUUCUCUACCGUUGUGAAAGCUUUGACUGGGUUUCGUUGCUUGGGAUUUGGGGAGCCGUCGGGUAUGCACCUUUGCUGGUCCUAAGGCAAUACAAUUCAAGACAGUUUGUGCCGGCAAUGUAUGGUUUAGCUCAAUGUGAGUUCUUGUACCGAGGAGACAAUUACAAGAAAAAGGUGAAAGAAAUUUCUCAGGCUUGUAAUGAGGUUCAUAGGAUGAAAAGGCUAGCUAUGGGUUCGAUGACAACUCCAGAGUAUGGUGAGUGGCGACGUAAAAUAAUUAAUGAUAGCAUUCUGGAGUUAAACUUGGAGGGUGUUCGACUAAUGGAAGAGUACCUACAAGUGAUCCCAUCAGAGUUGGAGAUUAUAAAACAAGAUUUUGAAAAGAGGAAUUUAGAACUUGAAAAGAAAAUAGAGCGGUUGGAAGAAGAGAAGAUGCAUUUGAGGCUAGAUAUUGACGUCCAAAAGUUAAAAGCUGAAAAAUUAAAGAAGUGGAAGAAUAAAGUAGAGGAGGAUCUGGAUAGCUUAAAGACGGACUACAAAAGGCUACGAGUAUCAAUGAGAACUGCUGGGCUGGGAAAGAAUUCAGAGCAGUGGCGACAGGAGAUCUAGGAAGAAAGAAACAAAGUCGAUCGGUGGGAAAGAAAGUCCUGGGAGGCUCAAGUUCAGAACGAGACCUUAGAACGGCAUGUGUUAGAAACUCAAAACUAUUAAGUGGACUUAAAAGCUAGAAUAGCAGAACUAAAGAGAUCACUUGCUGCGUAUAGAAGUCGUAAUUCUGUAGUGGAAUUAAAGAUAAGUCUGUGCAAGAUUGAAGAAAUGAAAAAGAGGAUAGAAGAAUUGGAGUAUGCAUUACAAGGCUGUAAAAAACGGAUCGAAUCCUUGGAAGGAAAUGAAGAGCGUUAGAGGGAGCAAAUUUAUCAUUCGCAGAAUCAAAUUUAGAAUAGAGAUUACAUUAUGGGCAGAGCUAUUGCUCAGAUUCGGGAGGUAGGUGAUCAUUUGCAAACAAUGGCAAUUCAGGCUGACGUGUUAAACGUAAAGUAUGAACUGGAAUCAGAUCGAGGGCAGGAGUUAGCUUCGCUGUUGAAGGAAGUUAAAGCUUUGAGUAUUAGGGCAAAGGCAUACUUGUAAUUCAUUUUAUGUAAAGAAUUUUGUUUAUCAAUAAAUUUUUCUAAAGGAAAUUGGAUCAGAAUCGACGCUCUUUUUGCAUUGAUUUCAUGCAUUUGCAUUACAUGACAUCAUAUGCAUUCAAGACUAUUAAGAAGAGGUUUUAAUUGGUUAAAAUUGUGCUUCAGUUAAUCUGGAAACCAGUAAAAAUUCAUCAAUCAAGCACCACUACGGUACCCGUGCGAAAUCAAAAAUUAUGGAUCAAAGAUUGGAAAAGCUUGAGCGCUUUCAAAAGGAAAUGCAAGAUCAAAUGAAAGAACAAAUGGAAAAGAUUCAGCAUGACAUGAUACAAAAGAUGCAGGAGUCUUAAAAUGACAUGAUGACUAAGUUGACGCAAUUAAUAACCAGAGGAGUAGAUAAAGGGAAAGGUCCUGUGAUUUGUAAUGAAGAAGAAAACAAUGAUGAACCACUUUUUCCUCCAGGUUUUACGCCUCCGCACGCGCAAGUUUAGACUGAACUGCAUCCGCGGAGACCUUCUGUUUCGAUUAGGCCUCAGCAUUUUCAAGGGGAUGUUUCAAUGCCGAAGACCUUUCAGGUCGGAUCUGGCUCUAAUCUUGGUGAUAAUUUGAAUAAUAUUGUUGUCCCGUAUUUCGAUAAAGUAGCUGAGAAGGAUAAGGUGAAGGAAGAGUUUCCAAAGCAGUUUGAGGAGAAAUAGAAAUGGAUUGAAGAGAAAUUUAGAACGAUGGAAAGCAUUGAAAGCUAUGGUGGAAUAGAUGAAAAAAAUCUGAGUCUGGUUUCGAAUUUGGUACUUUAUUACAAGUUUAAGAUGUCAGAAUUUGAGAAAUACAAUGGGACCAGUUGCCCUGAGGCCCAUAUCACCAUGUUCUGUAGGAGAAUAACGGGGUAUAUUAAUAAUGACCAAUUAUUAAUACAUUGCUUUCAGGAUAGUCUUACAAGGGCGGCGUCAAAAUGGUAAAAUCAGCUGAGCCGAACCAAAAUCGCUACUUGGAGGGAUUUGGCACAGGCUUUCAUGAGACAGUACAAUCAUGUAUUACAAAUGACGCCUAAUCGAAUAACUUUACAGAAUUUGGAGAAAAAAUCAAACGAAAGCUUCAGACAGUAUGCGCAGCGAUGGAGGGAAAUCGCAGUUCAGGUUCAGUCAGCACUUGUGGAAAAGAAAAUGACAAUGCUUUUUAUCAAUACAUUGAAAGCCCCGUUCAUUACUCACAUGUUGGGAAGUGCUUCAAAGAACUUCUCGGAUAUAAUCAUGAAUGGUGAAAUGAUUGAGCAUGCUAUUAAGAGUGGAAUAAUAGAUGGAGGGGAGAAUAAUAGAAGGACAGCCCCAAAGAAAAGAGAAAAUGAAGUGAGCAAUGUGAGCGGAUACGGCAGGUCAAUUACGGUUAAUCAACCAGGAAAGGCAGUUGCUAAUCAAUAAAGCUCAUCAAGACAAGAAGUAGGAGGGAGGUAAAACACUAAAAAACCCUAGUUUACGCCAAUUUCGAUGUCAUACGAGGAGUUAUAUCAGAAUUUAUUUAAUGCAUAUGGUGUUUCCCCUCAUUAUUUGACCCCUUUACAACCCCCUUAUCCCAAAUGGUACGAUAUAAAUGCACAAUGUGACUAUCAUGCGGGAAUCUCGGGGCAUUCAAUAGAGAAUUGCAUAACUUUCAAGAAGGUAGUGGAAAAACUCAUCCGCAUGAGUGUUGUCAAAUUUGAUGACUCACCUAACGUAGAAAAUCCGUUACCUAAUCAUGCUGAUAAGGGAGUGAAUAUGAUGGGUGAAAGUAUGGGAGAAAAAGUCAAGAAUGACAUCGGUGAAGUAAAAACUCCAUUGAAACAAGUCUGGAAAGAGAUGGUGAAAAGAGGACUAGUCAUUUCAGAUUUUGAGGAAGAAGAUGAGGUUGAAAAAUAUUGUGAAUUCCACCGUGAAGUAGGACAUGAGAUUCAAGAAUGUGAAGAAUUUAAAGCUCUGGUCCAAAGCAUGAUGGAUAACAAGGAAAUGAAGUUCUAUGAGGAAACAGAGGAAGAAAGAAGCAUAUGCGCGUCGGAAUCAACAACGAAGAUUUCAAAAAUAAAUCAUCCUGUGGUCAUUAUUUCGCACCCUAAGAACAGUAAGGCUAAGGUCUAGGUAACACCAAAAAUUAUAAUCCAUAAGCCGUCAAAUUUCUCAUAUAAAGAUAGUAAAAUGGUUCCGUGGAAGUAUGGAUGCAAUGUGACAAUCUCAACGUUUUUAUUUUUGUUUUAUUUUUAUUUUACAUUAAUUUUACCUAUUCUUUAAUUAAAAAAUUUAUAAUGACUUAGAGUUUAUUUAAUAGAGUUUUUUUUUAUAAUCGGUCUUAUAAUAAAAUUUUAUAAGGUGGGACCAAGUCCCACAGUGACAACAUGAUCCCUCAAUUUUUGGUGGUGGGAUGCCUUUAGUCAAAGGAUCAACUAACAUCUGCUCAAUGCUAAUGUGCUCAAUGACCAAUUUCUUUUCAUUAACAUGUUCCCUUAUGCCUAGGUACUUAAAGUCGAUAUGUUUACUUCGACUUCCACUUCUUUCAUUCUUAGCCAUAAAGACAGCAGUUGAAUUGUCACAAUAUAUGAAAUAAUCAAAACCCAUAAUGACUCAGCCCAAAAAACUCGAGCUUCAAACCCAAAUUAAAUUAAAUCAAAACCAUAAUUUAUUAUGUACAAUUGCACAAAAUUAACAUAAUUUAAGUGUGUCAUACUGCACAUUAAAUUAAAGUUUACGUUUGACAUUAUAGAUAAUAUUCACGUGUAAAAUUUUGAGAUUUAUUCCUUUCAUUAAAGUAAUAUGUCAAAUAGAAUACUUGAACAAUCCUCCAUGUUGGCAAAGUUUAUGUACAGUAGUAGAAGUGAACUAAAUAAUUAGAAUAAAUCUAAAGUAUGUCUUACAUAUAAUUUAUUCACAAUGUGACUUAAACUUUGUCCUUCAAGAUUUCACGGUCUCAAUUUAUGUCUUAAAAUUUUAAGAUCAUUUUAGGUUUGUUAAAAAAUUAAAAUUUUAGAAAGUUAGAAUUGUUGCUUGAGGCGUGAAUAUUCUUAUUCUUUAGGAUAUUUGUGGAUUUACCAUCUCUUAGGAUUUCGUUUGUAUCAUGCACAAUGAAAAAAUUGAAAAAAAAAUUUCCCAUUUGAAUGGAAUUGAGCUAUUAGGCUCAAGCCUAGUGUGCGCAUAUAUAUUCUCUUAUUUUGAGUCUUACAAGUUUAUAGUAAACCAAAUCUAUAUAAACAUCAUUUAAUAGGUCAAUCUAAAAUAUGUUUAAUAUGUGUAAUUCUUUAAAAUAGAUGAAAACUUCAAAUAUGGUUUAGGUCAUUUUCAGAUUUGUCUUAUUUUAGGUUCAAAUCAUUCGAAUUUGAGGCUAAGUUUUCCAUGUCUAAUCAUUAUUGAUCCGAAUCAUUUUAGAUUUUGAUCAUUUUAAGUUCCAAUUAUUUUGUGAUCAAAUCAUUUCAAGUUUAGAUAAAUUUGGGUCAAUUCGAAUUUGACUUAAUUACGUAGUUAACUUUUUUUUAUAAUAAAUUGAGCUGAAUGAAAGUUAGAUUGAAAUUUAUUUAGUGUGCCUUUGUGUUUAAGUCGAAAUUUAAACAUCUUCCUUCAAAAUAAACAUGUUAAGACAAUUUUAUUUUAAAGACAAUAAUACAACAUAGUUGAUUUGGGAGAUAAACAUGUUAAUUUUUUAAUCCCAACCAAAAUUGUACAUAAUUCUUUUAUGUCAUAUUAAAUACAUGUAACGUCUUAUAAAAAUUGUCAAUAAAUUAUGCCUAGCGACAACGUUAUUCAACUCUAAUUUCAUUGUUAAUACCUAUUUCUAUUUUUCUUCUACUGUCUUCAACUUUAAAUAUAAAGGGAUUGAAAUUUUAAGAAUUGAGAUUUCUUUUCUCUGUAUUAGUGGACGUUUGAUUUUUUGUUUGAUUGUUUUCUUUACUGGAAUUGACACAUAUCUUUUCAGAUUUAUCAAUAUUUUUAAAAUUUAUUUAAGAUAUGUAUAUAAAUAUAUUACAAACGUAAUGGCCCAAUAUUGCCCGGCCCGAUAAUAAAAAAUGAUAAAAUAAAUAAAGGUCCAAUGUCCAGCUUUUACAAACCCAAAAUCAAUACGGCCCAAUUAGCCUAAACCCAAUUAGCUUUAACCCAACUUAGCCCAAGACUCUCCUUAAACCCUGAAAACCCUAGGCAACAGGAGCCUCCUUCCAGCGCCGCAACCAUCAGCUGGGCUUCUCCAUGCACACGCUGCCACGCACAUCUCCGUACGGCCACCUCCGUACCUCCAGGCUGGCCGAAUACCUGUAAAAAAAACGCACGGAAACAACAGCAAAUAGAAAAACAACAGCAUAGGGGUGAAUUUUUAAUUAUUUUUUCAUUUUAUUUUCUGUAAAUCGGGAUAUAAGAAAGCCAUUCGAAUACUAUAACGGGAUUUACGCAUUCAAUAUACAAAGAAAUUGAGAAUACAAAAGAAUCAAAAAAGCAGAGAAAGGUGAUUUUCUAGGUUUUUUAUUCCUUUCUAUCUUGUUGGUUACUUGAUUCUUUUCUUUACUUUUUUAAUUUGUACGUUCAUCAAUCGUUGUUUAAAAAAGAAAUAGGAAAAAGAAAGGGAGGGAAACGUACCUGGUAGCGCGACCCUGGCUCUCUCCGGCGUCAUCGGAGCAGGGGCUGGGAUCAAUGACUGCUCGAAUACUUUCAAUACCUAGAGCGGCGCUGAGUUUUUUUUCGUUUAGGUUUUUGUUUUAAUGUAAAGAUAGGUUUUUAGGGUUUAUUUAGUUUUAAGUGAAGGAAUUAAAACGUCGACGUUUAAAGUCGAUGCAAUGACUUUGAAACAGCGUCGUUUUAGAGACCAGAUCCGAACGGUGACUUGAUCCGGGAAGGAUCCAUGCAUUAUGGAUCAUUUGGUCUAUUUGUUCAAUAGAUCCCUCUAUGUUUAAUGGAAUUGCGAUUUGAUUUCUUUUAAUUGUUUGUAAUUUGUACUGCAUAUUUUGUUCUGUUUUCAUUUAGAUCCAGAUUGAAAUGGUAUCGUUUACUGCGUUUGACUUUGAUUAUUCGGAGCUUUUGGGUUUAAUUGUCGAGUCAGUCCUCCAAUUUUGAAAUAAAUUUUAAUUUAACAUGAGUUUAGCCUUUUAAAAAAGAAGAAGAAGAAAUCAAUAGCAUUUUUUAAUUAUAAUUAAUCCUAUUUUCGUACAUUAUAAAACCUAACAUUAUUUGUAAUAUUUGAUUUUUAUGUUUUUAAAUCUACAAUUAUUAUAACUUAAGAUAUAAUAGAUCAUUGUUUUAGUUUAUAUCCUAUACUUUAAAUUUAUUAUAUAAUAAUAUUUUGAAUCUACCAUAUUUAUUUAAUUUUGUCUUUUCCUUUUGGUUCCAUUUUAAGUCCCGAUUUUAAAUUUAUUAAUAUUUUCAUUAUAAUUGUUGUUAUUACUCUUCUAAAUUGUUUUACUAUAUUUAAUUUUCUCUUCAAAAAGUGUUUUUUAAAACAAAUUAAUUCUUAAUUUUAAUUCAUUUUCUAACAUUAUUUUGGUAUUUAGUAUGAUAUUAUUUUCAAAUUUAUUAUUAGUACAUUUUUUAAAAUAAUACAUUAUUUUUUUAAAUUAUUAUCAAUAUGUUUUAUUUUAUCAAUAUUAGUUUAAAAAUAUAUAUGAUUUAUAUGAAAUUAUUCUAGUAUAUAUGUAUAUAGAUUACAUCAUUAACUUUAGAUUAACCUCUUUUACAUAAUUUUUUUAAAAUGUUUUAUUCCUUAAACCUUAUUUAUUUUAUUUGUUUUAUAGGUUGUUAAAUUAUUAAUAUGGAUGUUUGUAUGACAUGAUUAAGAUCAAUGUUUAUAUUUUCCUAUUAUUUGUUUAAUUGCUUCUAGUUUAAGUUUAAGUUGUUAUUUAUCUUUUAUAUAUCGUUAUUUAAUCAUGUUUUAUUUGUAAGAAUUGAAUUUUAUUAAAGCAUCAUAAUUCCUAAAAAAGCUUGGUGUUUAAUAGUUCUCAAGAGAGUUGUGCCCUAACUUACUGGGCUUCAAUUCUUCUCGAUGAAUUUAUAUCAUCAAGUAUCCACUUUAUACAAUUUUAAAAUAAAAUUCUUUAGAUUUCAAAAUGUGGGAUCCUAGCUUACUGGAUACGACAUUUUGUUAUCUCGAUGUUAAAAUAAAUGCAAUAUUUGAUGUUUAAAAAUUUCAAGAAAUCGAACCCUAACUUACUAGAUUCUGAUUUCUCGAUUGACUUAAAUAGUCAAAUAUCCUUCUUAAAACAUGUUUAAAAUUUUCAAAAAAGGGACGAACUUAACUUCGAAGAUUGAACUGUUGCACUCUAACUCACUGAGUGUGGCGAUUUGUUUCUUUGAAAUGGGUCCGUCCACUUAACCAAUUCAAUUGUUUAAGUUUUCAUUUCAUGGGAUCGUAUUUAAAAAUCUUUUCAAGUUUCGACACUAAGACAUUAAAUAACCAAUUCGGUACCAAUUUUGGGCGUUACGAGGGUGCUAACCCUUCCUCGUGUGUAACCGACUUCCGAACUUAUCUUCUCAAAAUUCGCAGACCAAAAAACUUGUUUUCAAGGUGAUCCGAUCACACCUCAACAAAAAUCGGUGGCGACUCCAAUUUUCAUUUUUUAAAGUCGACUACUAAUAAAUUUUUGUUUUCAAAAAAUGAUUUCGACAACAAAUAUAAAAUAAAUGAAACUAAAUACAUUUCAAAUAUAAAAUAUUCAAUAAUAAACUUAACAAAUAAAAAUUUAUCAUUGAAAUAAAUCCAAAAUUAUUAAUAACAAUCCAUCAUUUAAUAUGAAAUUUUAAAGAUUUAGCUCAUUUACUUAAUAAGAGAAGCUGAAAGGUGAACGAAUAUAUAUUUCUUUUAGAAUCAGGUGAACGGUUUUUUCUUAACUAUAUUUUGAAUGUGAAAGUAUAUUCCAUUUUUUAAAAACUUUACAUUUCCAUGUAGCAUUUUUAGUUAGUUACGUUUCAAUUAAGUUUUUAGCAUAAUAGUAAAUAAUUAAAAGUUUAAUAUUUUUAAUAUUAUUCAUGCACAGGACGGUGCAUUAUGUUCUGGUAGGUGUGACAGGAAUUGAUCGGAAUGAGUUGGUGCAAUUGGUACAGACCGAAAUUUUGACCAGUGUAGAAAAAGCGUGUUGGGUGUUUUGCAAUGUUAUUAAAACCAAACUAAACAGACCAAGAACCGAUGAACCUGAGGACUAGAGUAAACUGUAGUUAAACUACAAAUCAUCAGUCGAUUAAGCCGUAUUUAAACAUUUUCUAAACUUGAAAAAUAAAAAAUUCACAUCAAAUCCCUUGAGCUUUUGUCACACUUCUUAUCUGCACUCAAUGAAAUAAAACACAACAAAAAAUAAGCACCAUUCCUUUUAUUACUUUUUCUACUAAAGUAAGUUUUUUUUUCUCGUAAAAAACCUAAGAUGGACUUAUAACAUUCAAUCAAAGGAAAAACAAAUUAGGAAAGUAGAAAGAUGGGGAGAGAGUUUUAAAAUUCAAAGCCUUUAAAAUUGAUAGAUGAGUUUGGGGUUAUUAAUAUUAUUUUAUAUUGUUGAAUAGAAAAUGAAUUGUAUUGGUGGUUGAAUGUGUGAGAUUAAGAAUUAAUGAUUUGAUUAAUUUGAUUAUCAAUCUAAUUUUAUAAAUAGUAAUAUUUCGAUAUAAAAUUGAAACAGUAGACACAAAUGAGCAUAACCGAAAUCUGUAACCACCUUAAUUUAAUACAUAAUUUGAGAUUCAUAUAAAAUAUUAUCUUUGAAAUAUAUUGAAAGAGGAAAGUAAUCGUACGUAAAUGCAUAACUUGGAAGAGAUAAUGAAGCAGGAAUCAUUAUAUUAACAGUGGUAUUUUCUCGAUGUACGGCUGCACAAUAUCUUGACCUGCAUUUCUCGUUUGAUUCUUUUCUUAAUUAGCUAAACUCAUGUUAACAAUGGUAUAACAGUAAUUAAUUACUUCAUGGACAGAACAUCAAUAUAUAAAUACCCCAUAUAUAAUAAGCAACAACGUAUCAAAAUACACCAAAUAAUGGGAACUGGAGAACGCCCAUUUAUACAAACAAAUAUAAGUAGGAAAAAUCAAUACUCAUAAUAAAGACACAAAGAGGACUAAAAACCUUAUUAAACUAGAUCCAGUAUGUAGCAUAACAGAAAAGGGGGCAUUUCAAGGAGUAGAACUAGAAGGUGGUGGAGAAAAGAAAGGAAUAGAGGGAACUGCAGCUGGGAUUGAGGGAAUGUUUGGAAGAGGCGGCAGUCCUCUUGGCAAUGUGGUAGGAAGUGGAGGAAGCGCCCCAGGGUUUGGGAGAUAAGGGAAAGAUGGCAAUGGUGGAAAAUAGAAAGGAAUAGGGGGAACAGCAGUUGGGAUUGUGGGGACUGAGGGAAUGCUUGGCAGAGGGGGUAGUCCUGUUGGCAAUGUGGUAGGAAGUGGAGGAAGCGCCCCAGGCCAUGGGAAUGAUUGUCGGGAUGGCGUUGGGAGAUUAGAGAAAGAUGGUAAACUUCGCGGUUGAGGCUGCUGCAGAAGGUGACGAGCUGCUACCCCAACAUCAAUGCUUGCAAAUGACAAAGCAAUCAAGAAUGCUAAAGCAAGGCAAUUGAAAGAGGCCAUUUUUGUUCAGAGAUUUCGAAACAAAUGAAGCAGAUGAAACAAAGUUCUUUAUCUGAAUAGUUGUGGGUGAAGAAAACAAAGCACGGUAUUGAGGUUUAUAUAGGCAUUGGAGCAAUGAAUAGAAAUCCCCUGCCCCUAAACAAUGCCCCAUGCAUGCCCCCAAACCAAAAUAGCGCCACAUGUUUUUUAUUUUUUUCCAUUUUAGUUGUAGUUCAUUUUUUAAAUAAAAAUUUAUAAUGAUUUGGAUGAAUUUUUAACUUAUUAUCAACGUUUUUGUUUUUGUUUUAUUUUCUAUUAAUUUUACCUAUUCUUUAAUUAACAAAUUUAUAAUGACUUGGAAUUAAUUUAACAGUGUUUUUUUUUAUAAUCGUUCUUAUAAUAAAAUUUAAAAAGGUGGGAACGAGUCCCACAAUGACAACAUGAUCCAUGCCUUUAGUCAAAGGUUCAGAUAACAUCUGCUCAGUGUUAAUGUGCUCAAUGACGACUUUCUUUUCUUUAACAUAUUCCCUUAUGGCUAGAUACUUAAAAUCGAUAUGUUUACUUCGACUUUCACUUUUGUCGCUCUUAGCCAUAAAUACAGCAAUUGAAUUGUCACAAUAUAUGAAAUAAUCGAAACCUAUAAUGACUCAGCUCAAAAAACUCGAGCCUCAAACCCAAAUUAAAUUAAAUCAAAAUCAUAAUUUAUUAUAUACAAUUGCAUAAAAUUAACAUAAUUUAAGUGUCAUAGUGCACAUUAAAUUAAAGUUUAUGUUUGACAUUAUAGAUUGAAGCAAUAUUCAUGUGUAAAAUUUUGAGAUUUAUUUCCUUAAUGAAAGUAAUAUUUCAAAUAGAAUACUUGAACAAUCCUCCAUGUUGGCAAACUUUAUGUACAUUAGAAACGAACUAAAUAAUUAGAAUAAAUCUAAAGUAUGGCUUACAUUUAAUUUAUUCAUAAUGUGACUUAAACUUUGGCCUUCAAGAUUUCACGGUCUCAAAUUAUGUCUUAAAAUUUUAAGAUCAUUUUAGGUUUGUUAAAAACAUCAAUAGUUUAGAAAGUUAGAAUUGUUGCUUGAGGCGUGGAUUUCCCUAUUCUUUAGGAUAUUCGUGGAUUUACUAUCCCUCAAGAUUUAAUUUGUAUCAUGUGCAAUGAAAAAAUUGAAAAAGAAAAUUCCCAUUUGAAUGGAAUUGAGCUAUUAGGCUCAGGCCUCGUGUGCGCAUAUAUAUUCUCUUAUUUUGAGUCUUACAAGUUUAUAGUAAACCAAAUCUAUAUAAACAUCAUUUUAUAAGUGUAUCUAAGAUAUGUUUAAUAUGUGUAAUUCUUUAAAAUACAUGAAAACUUCAAAUGUGGUUUAGGUCAUUUUCAGAUUUGUCUUAUUUAGGUUCAAAUCAUUCGAAUUUGAGGCUAAGUUUUUCAUGUGUAAUCAUUAUUGAUCCGAAUCAUUUUAGAUUUUGAUCAUUUUAAGUUCUAAUUAUUUUGUGAUCAAAUCAUUUCAAGUUUAGAUAAAUUUGGGUCAAUUUUGAAUUUGACUUAAUUACGUAAUUAACCUUUUUUAUAAUAAAUUGAGCUGAAUGAACUUUAGAUUGGAAUUUAUUUAGUGUACCUUUGUGUUUAAGUUGAAAUUUAAACAUCUGUAUUAGAAAUACACAUGUUAAUACAAUUUUAUGUUAAAGACAAUAAUACGACAAAAUUAAUUUGGGAGAUAAACAUGUUAAUUUUUUAAUCCCAACCAAAAUUGUACAUAAUUGUUUUAUAUCAUAUUAAAUACAUGUAACGUCUUAUAAAAAUUGUCAAUAAAUUAUGCCUAGCGACAACGUUAUUCAAAUCUAAUUUCAUUGUUAAUACCUAUUUCUAUUUUUCUUCUAAUAUCUUCAACUUUAAAUAUAAAGGAAUUGAAAUUUUAAGAAUUGAGAUUUCUUUUCUUUAUAUUAGUGGACAUUUGAUUUUUUGUUUGAUUUUUUUUACUAGAAUUGAUGCAUAUCUUUUCAGAUUUAUCAAUAUUUUUUAAAAUUAUUUAAGAUAUGUAUAUAAAUAUAUUACAAAUAUAAAAUGAAUGAAACUAAAUACAUUUCAAAUAUAAAAUAUUCAUUAAUAAACUUAACAAAUAAAAAUUUAUCAUUCAAAGAAAUCCAAAAUUAUUAAUAAUAAUCCAUCAUUUAAUAUGAAAUUCUAAAGAUUUAGCUCAUUUACUUAAUAAAAGAAGGUGAAAGGUGGACGAAUAUUUUUUAUUUGAUAAUCAGGUAAAUGGUUUUUUCUUAAUUAUAUUUUGAAUGUGAAAGUAUAUUCCAUUUUUUUUUAAAAUUUACAUUCCGAUGUAGCGUUUUUAAUUAGUCACGUUUCAAUUAAGUUUUUAGCAUAAUAGUAAAUUAUUAAAAGUUUAAUAUUUUUAAUAUUAUUCAUGCAUAGGACGGUGCACUAUGUUCUGGCAGGUGUGACAGGAAUUGAUCGGAAUGAGUUGGUGCAAUUGGUACAGACCAAAAUUUUUACCAGUGUAGAAAAAGGGUUUUGGGUGUUUCGCAAUGUUAUUGAAACCAAACCAAACAGACCAAAAACCGAUGAACCCGAGAACUAGAGUAAACUGCAGUUAAACUGCAAAUCAUCAGCUGAUUAAGCCGCAUUUCGCAUUUUCUAGACUGGAAAACAAAAAUUUCACUUCAGAUCCCUUGAGCUUUUGUUACACUUCUUCUCUUAACUCAAAAUAAAACAAACCAUACAAAGAAUAAGCACUGUUUCUUUUAUUACUUUUUUAUUACUCAGUGAAAAACCUGGACUUAUAACAUUCAAUCAAAGGAAAAAAAAGACAAAUUAGGAAAGAUGAAAGAUGGGGAGAGGGUUUUAAAAUUCAAAGCCGUCAAAAUAGAUGAGUUUGGGGUUAUUAAUAUUAUUUUAUAUUGUUCAAUAGAAAAUUAAUUGUAUCGGUGGUUGAAUCUGUGAGAUCAAAAAUUAAUUAAUUGAUUAAUUUAAUUAUCAAUCUAAUUUUAAAAAUAUUAAUAUUUCGGUAUAAAAUUAAUACAGUGCACACAAAUUAAUAUAACCGAAAUCUGUACGAAACCGAGCACCUUAAUUUAAUACAUAAUUUGACAUUCAUAUAAAAUAUUAUCUUGGAAAUAUAUUGAAAGAGGAAAGUAAUCGUAUGUAAAUGGAUAACUUGGAAGAGAUAAUGAAGCAGGAAUCAUUAUAUUAACAGUGGCAUCUUCUCGAUGUACGGCGGCUCACUAUUUUGACUGCAUUUAUCGUUUGAUUCUUUUCUUAAUUAGCCAAACUCAUGUUAACAAUGGUAUAACAGUAAUUAAUUACUUCAUGGAUAGAACAUCAAUAUAUAAAUACCCCAUAUAUAAUAAGCAACAACGUUUCAAAAUACACCAAAUAAUGGGAAUUGGAGAACGCCCAUUUAUACAAACAAAUAUAAGUGGGCAAAAUCAAUACUCAUAAUAAAGACACAAAGACGACUAAAAACCUUAUUAAACUAGAUCCAGUAUGCAGCAUAACAGAAAAGGGGGUAUUUCAAGGAGUAGAGCGAGAAGGUGGUGGAGAAAAGAAAGGAAUAGAAGGAACUGCAGUUGGGAUUGAGGGAAUGCUUGGCAGAGGCGACAGUCCUCUUGGCAAUGUGGUAGGAAGUGGAGGAAGCGCCCCAGGGUUUGGGAGAUAAGGGAAAGAUGGCAAUGGUGGAAAAGAGAAAGGAAUAGGGGGAAUUGCAGUUGGGAUUGUGGGGACUGAGGGAAUGCUUGGCAGAGGGGGCAGUCCUGUUGGGAAUGUGGUAGGAAGUGGAGGAAGCGCCCCAGGCCAUGGGAAUGAUUGUCGGGAUGGCGUUGGGAGAUUAGGGAAAGAUGGUAAACUUUGCGGUUGAGGCUGCUGCAGAAGGUGACGAGCUGCUACCCCAACAUCAAUGCUUGCAAAUGACAAAGCAAUCAAGAAUGCUAAAGCAAGGAAAUUGAAAGAGGCCAUUUUUGUUCAGAGAUUUCGAAACAAAUGAAGCAGAUGAAACAAAGUUCUUUAUCUGAAUAGUUGUGGGUGAAGAAAACAAAGCAUGGUAUUGAGGUUUAUAUAGGCAUUGGAGCAGUGAAUAGAAAUCCCCUGCCCCUAAACAAUGCUCCAUGCAUGCCCCCAAACCAAAAUAGCUCCACAUGUUUUUUAUUUUUUUCAUUUUAAUUUUUUAAAAUAAAAACUCUGUAAUGAUUUGAAUUAAUUUUUAACUUAUUAUCAACGUUUUUAUUUUUGUUUUAUUUUUAUUUUACAUUAAUUUUACCUAUUCUUUAAUUAACAAAUUUAUAAUGACUUAGAGUUAAUUUGAGAGAUUUUUUUUUUAUAAUUGGUCUUAUAAUAAAAUUUUACAAAGCAGAAACAAGUUCCACUGUGAAAACAUGAUCCUUAAAUUUUUGGAGAUAACCAUGUUAAUUUUUUAAUCCCAACCAAAAUUCUAAAUAAUUCUUUUAUGUCAUAUUAAAUACACGUAACGUCUUAUAAAAAUUGUCAAUAAAUUAUGCAUAGUGACAAGGUUAUUCAAAUCUAAUUUCAUUGUUAAUACCUAUUUCUAUUUUUCUUCUACUGUCUUCAACUUUAAAUAUAAAGGGAUUGAAAUUUUAAGAAUUGAGAUUUCUUUUCUCUGUAUUAGUGGACGUUUGAUUUUUUAUUUUAUUUUUUUAUUGGAAUUGAUACAUAUCUUUUCAGAUUUAUCAAUAUAUUUUAAAAUUUUAUAAGAUAUGUAUAUAAAUAUAUUAAAAAUAUAAAAUGAAUGAAACUAAAUACAUUUCACAUAUAAAAUAUUCAUUAAUCAACUUAAGAAAUAAAAAUUUAUCAUUCAAAUAAUCCAAAAUUAUUACUAAUAAUCUCAUUUAAUAUGAAAUUUUAAGGAUUUAGCUCAUUUACUUAAUAAAAGUAGUUGAAAGGUGAAUGAAUAUUUUUUUUAUAAUCGGGUGAAUGGUUUUUUUCUUAAUUAUAUUUUUAAUGUGAAAGUAUAUUCUAAUUUUUUUUAAAAACUUUACAUUCCGAUGUAGCAUUUUUAAUUAGUCACGUUUCAAUUAAGUUUUUAGCAUAAUAGAAAAUAAUUAAAAGUUUAAUAUUUUUAAUAUUAUUCAUGCGCAGGACGGUGCACUAUGUUCUGGCAGGUGUGACUGGAAUUGAUCGGAAUGAGUUGGUGCAAUUGGUACGGACCGAAAUUUUUACCAGUGUAGAAAAAGGGUGUUGGGUGUUUCACAAUAUUAUUGAAAGCAAACCAAAAAGACCAAGAACCGAUGAACCCGAGAACUAGAGUAAACUGCAGUUAAACUACAAAUCAUCUGUCGAUUAAGUCGUAUUUUCACAUUCUUUAAACCGGAAAAACAAAAAUUACACUUCAAAUCCCUUGAGCCAUUGUUAUACUUUUUCUCUGCACUCAAUGAAAUAAAACACAACAUAAAAAAAAUAAGCACCAUCUCUUUUAUUACUUUUACUACUAAAAUAACUUUUUUUUUCUUGUGAAAAACCUAAGAUGGACUUAUAACAUAUAAUAAAAAGGGAAAAAAAAGACAAAUUAGGAAAGAUGAAAGAUGGGGAGAGGGUUUUAAAAUUCAAAGCCGUCAAAAUAGAUGAGUUUGGGGUUAUUAGUAUUAUUUUAUAUUGUUCAAUAGAAAAUUAAUUGUAUCGGUGGUUGAACCUGUGAGAUCAAAAAUUAAUUAAUUGAUUAAUUUAAUUAUCGAUCUAAUUUUAAAAAUAUUAAUAUUUCGGUAUAAAAUUAAUACAGUGCACACAAAUUAAUAUAACCGAAAUCUGUACGAAACCGAGCACCUUAAUUUAAUACAUAAUUUGACAUUCAUAUAAAAUAUUAUCUUGGAAAUAUAUUGAAAGAGGAAAGUAAUCGUAUGUAAAUGGAUAACUUGGAAGAUAUAAUGAAGCAGGAAUCAUUAUAUUAACAGUGGCAUCUUCUCGAUGUACGACUGCUCACUAUUUUGACUGCAUUUAUCGUUUGAUUCUUUUCUUAAUUAGCCAAACUCAUGUUAACAAUGGUAUAACAGUAAUUAAUUACUUCAUGGACAGAACAUCAAUAUAUAAAUACCCCAUAUAUAAUAAGCAACAACGUAUCAAAAUACACCAAAUAAUGGGAAUUGGAGAACGCCCAUUUAUACAAACAAAUAUAAGUGGGCAAAAUCAAUACUCAUAAUAAAGACACAAAGACGAUUAAAAGCCUUAUUAAACUAGAUCCAGUAUGCAGCAUAACAGAAAAUGGGGUAUUUCAAGGAGUAGAGCGAGAAGGUGGUGGAGAAAAGAAAGGAAUAGAGGGAACUGCAGUUGGGAUUGAGGGAAUGCUUGGCAGAGGCGGCAGUCCUCUUGGCAAUGUGGUAGGAAGUGGAGGAAGCGCCCCAGGGUUUGGGAGAUAAGGGAAAGAUGGCAAUGGUGGAAAAGAGAAAGGAAUAGGGGGAACUGCAGUUGGGAUUGUGGGGACUGAGGGAAUGCUUGGCAGGGGGGGUAGUCCUGUUGGCAAUGUGGUAGGAAGUGGAGGAAGCGCCCCAGGCCAUGGGAAUGAUUGUCGGGAUGGAGUUGGGAGAUUAGGGAAAGAUGGUAAACUUUGCGGUUGAGGCUGCUGCAGAAGGUGACGAGCUGCUACCCCAACAUCAAUGCUUGCAAAUGACAAAGCAAUCAAGAAUGCUAAAGCAAGGCAAUUGAAAGAGGCCAUUUUUGUUGAGAGAUUUCGAAACAAAUGAAGCAGAUGAAACAAAGUUCUUUAUCUAAAUAGUUG